AGUAGGAGGCAACAUUGAGCCAUAAUAUUAAAGAAGAUGGAGGUGGAUAGUGCAGAUUGCUCUGACCAGCACUGAAGAAGUGAUGUGAGGACAGUCCAUCAGUCACAGCAUGGUGAAUCACCUAAACCAGAAAUACAUUGCUGCCUUGCCAGUGAAAACUGAUGUUACAUCAGUGGUUAAGCAAAUGGGAGGAAAACAUUAUAGACCUCAGGCAAGAUGCACAGGUAGAGAGAAUGGGAAAGGCCACCUGACUGUUGCUCUAUCAUUCUCAUCUGUCCACGUGUUGACAUUUAAGUGUCUCAGCUGCUGCUUCUAUCUGGAACAGCCGGUUAUGAUCCCUAUGGCAUCAUGCAACAGCUGUAUCACUUCCUUUUCUCCCUAACAAGAUGGGAGAGAUAAUAAUGGCAGCCAUCUCUGUCAGCUUUACACUAGAAUAUUCUUUGUUUUAACUAUUGUAGAGCCCUAACUGGAUUCCCUUCAUUUUUCAUCGCCUCCAGGGAAUCUGGUGUCAGAAUCAUGUGAGCCCUGACUUCACUGCUGUGAUUCACGUGACUUCUCUCACAGGGAAUUUCACUUUUCUGUAGUGUUAGGCUUAUCUAUUGAAUGAAAAGGUGAUCCUCUCCCUCAUUUAUGAUUCAUUAAACUAUGACAACCAAAACUAACUGCAGGCAAGGAAAAGUACUGAUAGAAAUGUUUUGUCACUCAGGAGCUUUGUCACUCCUCUGUCAUUUUAAGUCCACCACAGUUCUCUUUUUUCUCUCCUUAUAUCUCCAUAAUCAUGAAAAGCCAUCUUCUGGCAUCCAGCUUUCAGCAGACAACCAGUGAAUAUUCAGAGACAUCAGACCAUCAAUUUGAUGACUGUUCCCAUAGCUACUCUAUUGAUAGACUAUGUCUCUUACAGUUAAGAACUGAGCUAUGACUAUGAUCAGAAUAAGAGAAAUGUUGUUUCAAAAGUGCUUCAAACUUAGCGAAGCUCUCAAAAGCUCUUUCGUCCUGGUAUAGAAGAGGGAUUGAUAUUUUGGGUAGUACAGCUUACAAAAUGCCUUUAUUUCUGGAAACAUAAAAAACUAUAUAUUUGUCAGGCAUUCUGAAGAAAUUAAUGUAAGACCUGGUUUGGAACAAAAUAUUCUUGUCCAAUACAAGUCCCAGCACCCAGUUCUGCAGUGCAUCUCUCCACAUUUCCUGUGCCUUUGGACUGAGUUCUAGCAACGCCCUUGGAAGCUCUUCAAUAGCAGCCCAGCCCCUGAAGAUGGGCAAUGGGUCAUGUAGUGCUGGACUUGGGUAUCUCCUCACACUUUGUUCUGAGAUUAACACAGAUUUAUCUAAUUUUGAAACCCGUGGAUUUGUCUGAGCCAAGAGAAAAUCUUGCUCUUCUUUUAAAUAGAAAUAACUGCUUUGUGGCAAUAGAAUCAGCACAUUGGUGUCUCUUUUUUUGUAGCUUAUAAAGUGAACACAGACUGUUUUGGUUCAGUUGUCCAUACACUGAGACAUCUGAAAGGUUGUGCCAGGGCCUCACCAAAUCGAUCUUUCGGCAGUCAAGGGGGGACAUACAAUGUAAGUUCAGCAUUUACUGUGCCAGAAGGUAGAACCUCACCUACACAGAGGCUACAGCUGGAAGAACUUUGUGUUCCACUUGUUACACAGGUUUCUUUAAAGAAUAAUGGUAAUAAUAAAAUAUUUAGAUCCAAAGAGUGCUUGAAAUUG
Cyanistes caeruleus (blue tit) is the source of this 1704-nucleotide long non-coding RNA. NCBI's taxonomy places the organism in Eukaryota, Metazoa, Chordata, Aves, Passeriformes, Paridae. The record is from Ensembl.